Long non-coding RNA from Bombina bombina (fire-bellied toad), 220 nucleotides. RefSeq lists it as uncharacterized. The transcript is spliced from 3 exons. NCBI's taxonomy places the organism in Eukaryota, Metazoa, Chordata, Amphibia, Anura, Bombinatoridae. The record is from RefSeq and is a predicted model, not a curated record.
UCCAUUAUCUCUGCUGAUAUGUUUCAGUACUGGUUUUUCUGUCUGCUUUCGUUGGGCGAGUGUCUACAAUCAAAAGAUGGAUGCAGAUGGUGUACCCCCAGCAAUGAAGACAUUUAUUGCUGUUGCCAUUGUGUGAGAGGCAUGCAGGUUAUAGGUAGAAACAUCAUGGCCACCCGCAUGCGCAAAAGAAGUGCCUAACGACUGACGCAUGCGCAUAUAC